CCUAUCAUCCACCAUUGUGUGUUUGUGUAUACGACUAGGAUGACUGACAGAAUACCUGGGAAAGUCCUGGAGGCACUUUAUAUCUGUCCUAGGUUCUGAAAGAAUGGUUCCGGGCCAUGAAGCCAGGCCACGUAUUCUUAAGGCUCAGGUGGGCUAAUUAAACAGCCUCUCCCAGUAUUUGUGUGUGUGUGUGUGGGGGACUGGUAAUUGGAAAGAGACUGUGUUGUUCCACUGUGAGCUGGAGAUCGGGAACAGCACAAAGUUUGAUUAGAGAAAGAGAAGUGAAAAAUCCCUCCUAACAAACUGUAUCCUGAGAGCACUGACAGAGGCUCUCUGAGACUUGAUGCUUGACAUACUAAGCUGCCCAGUCUUAAGCCUUUGGAAAAGAUAAAGUCAGAAGGAUAAGAUGCAAAUGCAAGAACUUAGUCCUUAAAAAAGUGCUCUAAUGGUAAUAAAAAUGUGCUAUGUUUGUGCUCAUCAGCUGGAUUUUCUACUGACCAC
Xenopus laevis (African clawed frog) is the source of this 501-nucleotide long non-coding RNA. RefSeq lists it as uncharacterized. NCBI's taxonomy places the organism in Eukaryota, Metazoa, Chordata, Amphibia, Anura, Pipidae. The record is from RefSeq and is a predicted model, not a curated record. The transcript is spliced from 3 exons.